UACGGGGGGAGCAAGCGUUGUUCGGAUUUACUGGGCGUAAAGGGCGCGUAGGCGGCCACCGCAAGUCGACUGUGAAAUCUCCGGGCUUAACCCGGAAAGGUCAGCCGAUACUGCGGGGCUAGAGUGCAGAAGGGGCAACUGGAAUUCCCGGUGUAGCGGUGAAAUUCGUAGAUAUUGGGAAGAACACCGGUGGCGAAGGCGGCUCUCUGGACCGAGACUGACGCUGAGGCGCGAAAGCGUGGGGAGCAAACAGG
RNAcentral lists this ribosomal RNA (254 nucleotides) under uncultured bacterium. RNAcentral describes it as "partial 16S ribosomal RNA". It matches the Rfam family "Bacterial small subunit ribosomal RNA", at positions 524 to 776 of the family's 1533-position model. The record is from RNAcentral.